This 1345-nucleotide ribosomal RNA is filed under the name uncultured bacterium. RNAcentral describes it as "partial 16S ribosomal RNA". It matches the Rfam family "Bacterial small subunit ribosomal RNA", at positions 28 to 1381 of the family's 1533-position model. The record is from RNAcentral.
GACGAACGCUGGCGGCGUGCUUAACACAUGCAAGUCGAACGGAAAGGCCCUGCUUUUGUGGGGUGCUCGAGUGGCGAACGGGUGAGUAACACGUGAGUAACCUGCCCUUGACUUUGGGAUAACUUCAGGAAACUGGGGCUAAUACCGGAUAGGAGCUCCUGCUGCAUGGUGGGGUUGGAAAGUUUCGGCGGUUGGGGAUGGACUCGCGGCUUAUCAGCUUGUUGGUGGGGUAGUGGCUUACCAAGGCUUUGACGGGUAGCCGGCCUGAGAGGGUGACCGGCCACAUUGGGACUGAGAUACGGCCCAGACUCCUACGGGAGGCAGCAGUGGGGAAUAUUGCACAAUGGGCGGAAGCCUGAUGCAACAACGCCGCGUGCGGGAUGACGGCCUUCGGGUUGUAAACCGCUUUCGCCUGUGACGAAGCGUGAGUGACGGUAAUGGGUAAAGAAGCACCGGCUAACUACGUGCCAGCAGCCGCGGUGAUACGUAGGGUGCGAGCGUUGUCCGGAUUUAUUGGGCGUAAAGGGCUCGUAGGUGGUUGAUCGCGUCGGAAGUGUAAUCUUGGGGCUUAACCCUGAGCGUGCUUUCGAUACGGGUUGACUUGAGGAAGGUAGGGGAGAAUGGAAUUCCUGGUGGAGCGGUGGAAUGCGCAGAUAUCAGGAGGAACACCAGUGGCGAAGGCGGUUCUCUGGGACUUUCCUGACGCUGAGGAGCGAAAGCGUGGGGAGCGAACAGGCUUAGAUACCCUGGUAGUCCACGCUGUAAACGGUGGGUACUAGGUGUGGGGUCCAUUCCACGGGUUCCGUGCCGUAGCUAACGCUUUAAGUACCCCGCCUGGGGAGUACGGCCGCAAGGCUAAAACUCAAAGGAAUUGACGGGACCCCGCACAAGCGGCGGAGCAUGCGGAUUAAUUCGAUGCAACGCGUAGAACCUUACCUGGGUUUGACAUGGAUCGGGAGUGCUCAGAGAUGGGUGUGCCUCUUUUGGGGUCGGUUCACAGGUGGUGCAUGGCUGUCGUCAGCUCGUGUCGUGAGAUGUUGGGUUAAGUCCCGCAACGAGCGCAACCCUUGUUCACUGUUGCCAGCACGUUAUGGUGGGGACUCAGUGGAGACCGCCGGGGUCAACUCGGAGGAAGGUGGGGAUGACGUCAAGUCAUCAUGCCCCUUAUGUCCAGGGCUUCACGCAUGCUACAAUGGCUGGUACAGAGAGUGGCGAGCCUGUGAGGGUGAGCGAAUCUCGGAAAGCCGGUCUCAGUUCGGAUUGGGGUCUGCAACUCGACCUCAUGAAGUCGGAGUCGCUAGUAAUCGCAGAUCAGCAACGCUGCGGUGAAUACGUUCCCGGGGCU